GCGCUCGGCCUCUGCGUCCCGGGCGCCGCCGCCGCCCCCUGCCCGCCGCCCGGCCAGCGCCAUGAGGACCAAGCAUGUGAACUUGCUGAUCGCCUUCGUCGCCACGGUGCUCUUCAGCUUCUCCUGCUUCUGCAUCUCCAGGUUGACGCAAGCCAAUAAUCAAUUAAUUAAUUGUAGAAACCAUAUAUUGGAGUUCGAAGAUAAUAUACUACGUCUAAAAAACAAAACUGAAAAAAGUAACCAAGAGCUGAUGAAAGCCCUGAAACAAAUAAAGCACGAAAUUACAAAGGGAGACAAUUUGUCAGUAAACUUAGUUAAGAAGAAACUGAGUAAAUUGAGUAAAAAUGAAGCAGUACCUAACACAUUUGAAGACUUAAAGUUCUUUCUUCCUCAUCUAAGGAAAGAAGGCAGAAUUUAUCCUGAUGUAGUCAUAGGCAAAGGGAAAACAGGUGUGUCUUUUGCACUGGGCAUUCCCACUGUCAGCAGAGGAAAUUAUACUUACCUGAAGCAAACACUGACCUCGAUUCUCUCCAGGAUGACACCUUCAGAAGAAAAGGACUCUGUGGUGAUUGUCGCUAUUGCAGAUAGUAAUGAAGAUUAUUUACAAUAUGUUGUUCGCAUGAUUACAAAAAAAUUCAAAAGGCAAGUGAAGUCUGGUUCCUUAGAGGUCAUUUCAAUACCUACCUUUCUUUAUCCAAACAUUUCAAAUGCCAAACAAUUAACUGAGGACUCACAAAAAACUCAAAGUCGGAAAGUCAAACAAGUAUUGGAUUUUUGCAUUUUGAUGCUGUAUGCGCAACCCAAGGCCAUGUAUUAUUUACAGCUAGAAGAUGAUAUCAUAGCUAAAAAGAUGUACCUUACUAAAAUAACAGAUUUUGUACAUAAUAUCACUUCAAAUAAUUGGGUUUAUAUUGAGUUUUCAAUACUUGGAUUCAUAGGAAAGCUGUUUAGAUGUGAGGACUUACCUGGCUUUGUACGUUUUUUUCUAAUGUUUUACAAAGAGCAACCCAUAGACUUGCUCAUGGAAUACAUGUUUCAGAUAAAGAUGUGUGACCCAGUAGAUUCUUUUGAUAACUGCAAAGAACUACAAAAGCAAAUUCGUAUUCAGUAUAAACCUUCUCUUUUCCAGCAUGUGGGUACACAUUCAUCGUUAUCUGGAAAAGAACAACGUUACAACAACCACUUUUCAGAAAUAAUGUCAUAACAAGGAUUAGACUAUUUCUCAACUUUCUUAAUCAACUACAUCAUAUUUUUUAAAAUUAAGCCUUCAACAAUAAAGUGAAAAUAUGAAGAAAAUAAGCAUAACAAGAAGAAACUCUGUAAUACCUUGAACUUCAGAUAACCUUGAUUUCUAAUGGCAUGUUUCAGAAAUUAUAAUAAUGAAAAUAACAUAAUUAUCUACAAGAGAAGUAAACAAUGAACAAAUUAGUAGACUUGAAAGUAUUAAAUGACCUUUUAGGUCAAGAAAAAAUAAAACAUUUAUGAUGUUUGUACCCUAUUACAAUUUAAUUUAAAAAUAGUAAAAGCAGGGAAGUUUUUUAAAAUAAAGAACUAUAGAUAGAAUGACCAUAUUUUAUUGACUUAGAUAGUAUGAACAUAUUUUAUUGACUUUUAUUAUGACCAUCACAUAAUCUCAAUAAAUAGUUGUAAGUUCAGAAAUGUGCCAUUGUCAUAGACAAGUUCUGGGUGAAUUGGUAUAUGCUUUUAUUUAUUUUGUUAAGACAUCUAAAGAAAUAGAAAGCACAAAUUUAAGCAAUGCUGGAUCUGGCAGUGCCGCAGUAUCUUUUUGUCUUUUAAUAAAAGUGUAAACUUACCCCUA
Microcebus murinus (gray mouse lemur) is the source of this 1819-nucleotide non-coding RNA. NCBI's taxonomy places the organism in Eukaryota, Metazoa, Chordata, Mammalia, Primates, Cheirogaleidae. The record is from RefSeq and is a predicted model, not a curated record.